AUUGAACGCUGGCGGCAUGCCUUAAACAUGCAAGUCGAACGGUAACAGGUCUUCGGAUGCUGACGAGUGGCGAACGGGUGAGUAAUACAUCGGAACGUGCCUGGUAGUGGGGGAUAACUACUCGAAAGAGUGGCUAAUACCGCAUGAGAUCUACGGAUGAAAGCAGGGGAUCGCAAGACCUUGUGCUACUAGAGCGGCCGAUGGCAGAUUCGGUAGUUGGUGGGAUAAAAGCUUACCAAGCCGACGAUCUGUAGCUGGUCUGAGAGGACGAUCAGCCACACUGGGACUGAGACACGGCCCAGACUCCUACGGGAGGCAGCAGUGGGGAAUUUUGGACAAUGGGCGCAAGCCUGAUCCAGCAAUGCCGCGUGCAGGAUGAAGGCCUUCGGGUUGUAAACUGCUUUUGUACGGAACGAAAAGCCCCGGGUUAAUACCCUGGGGUCAUGACGGUACCGUAAGAAUAAGCACCGGCUAACUACGUGCCAGCAGCCGCAGUAA
Molecule: ribosomal RNA, 498 nt
Filed under: uncultured bacterium
Lineage: Bacteria
Description: partial 16S ribosomal RNA
Rfam family: Bacterial small subunit ribosomal RNA
Source: RNAcentral